Molecule: ribosomal RNA, 752 nt
Filed under: uncultured Sulfurimonas sp.
Lineage: Bacteria; Pseudomonadati; Campylobacterota; Epsilonproteobacteria; Campylobacterales; Sulfurimonadaceae
Description: bacterial SSU rRNA
Rfam family: Bacterial small subunit ribosomal RNA
Source: RNAcentral
UACGGAGGGUGCAAGCGUUACUCGGAAUCACUGGGCGUAAAGGACGCGUAGGCGGGUUGUCAAGUCAGGUGUGAAAUCCUACAGCUUAACUGUAGAACUGCACUUGAAACUGGCAACCUAGAGUAUGGGGGGGGGAGAUGGAAUUAGUGGUGUAGGGGUAAAAUCCGUAGAUAUCACUAGGAAUAUCAAAAGCGAAGGCGAUCUCCUGGAACAUUACUGACGCUAAGGCGUGAAAGCGUGGGGAGCAAACAGGAUUAGAUACCCUGGUAGUCCACGCCCUAAACGAUGAACACUAGUCGUCGGGAUGCUAGUCAUCUCGGUGAUGCACUUAACAGAUUAAGUGUUCCGCCUGGGGAGUACGGUCGCAAGAUUAAAACUCAAAGGAAUAGACGGGGACCCGCACAAGUGGUGGAGCAUGUGGUUUAAUUCGAAGAUACGCGAAAAACCUUACCUAGCCUUGACAUUGAUAGAAUUCUGUAGAGAUACGGAAGUGCCCUUCGGGGAACUUGAAAACAGGUGCUGCACGGCUGUCGUCAGCUCGUGUCGUGAGAUGUUGGGUUAAGUCCCGCAACGAGCGCAACCCUCGUCUUUAGUUGCCAGCAGUUCGGCUGGGCACUCUAAAGAGACUGCCUUCGCAAGAAGGAGGAAGGUGAGGACGACGUCAAGUCAUCAUGGCCCUUAUGGCUAGGGCUACACACGUGCUACAAUGGGGCGUACAGAGAGUUGCGAUACCGCGAGGUGGAGCCAAUCUC